GACGAACGCUGGCGGCGUGCUUAACACAUGCAAGUCGAACGGAAAGGCCAUGCUUUUGUGGGGUGCUCGAGUGGCGAACGGGUGAGUAACACGUGAGUAACCUGCCCUUGACUUUGGGAUAACUUCAGGAAACUGGGGCUAAUACCGGAUAGGAGCUCCUGCUGCAUGGUGGGGGUUGGAAAGUUUCGGCGGUUGGGGAUGGACUCGCGGCUUAUCAGCUUGUUGGUGGGGUAGUGGCUUACCAAGGCUUUGACGGGUAGCCCGCCUGAGAGGGUGACCGGCCACAUUGGGACUGAGAUACGGCCCAGACUCCUACGGGAGGCAGCAGGGGGGAAUAUGGCACAAUGGGCGGAAGCCUGAUGCGGCAACGCCGCGUGCGGGAUGACGGCCUUCGGGUUGUAAACCGCUUUCGCCUGUGACGAAGCGUGAGUGACGGUAAUGGGUAAAGAAGCACCGGCUAACUACGUG
Molecule: ribosomal RNA, 468 nt
Filed under: uncultured bacterium
Lineage: Bacteria
Description: partial 16S ribosomal RNA
Rfam family: Bacterial small subunit ribosomal RNA
Source: RNAcentral